GCAGCUGUGGCCAAGAGGUUAAGACAAUGGAUUCGUUACUCAUUGAGGUCUCCUCGAUUAGGUUCGAAUCCUACCGGCUGCG
Non-coding RNA from Trichonephila clavipes, 82 nucleotides. The record is from the annotation of a GenBank genome assembly. Lineage: Eukaryota; Metazoa; Arthropoda; Arachnida; Araneae; Nephilidae.